Molecule: ribosomal RNA, 1522 nt
Filed under: Kineosporia succinea JCM 9957
Lineage: Bacteria; Bacillati; Actinomycetota; Actinomycetes; Kineosporiales; Kineosporiaceae
Description: bacterial LSU rRNA
Rfam family: Bacterial large subunit ribosomal RNA
Source: RNAcentral
GGUAGUAGUUAAGCGAUGGUGUGACACAGGAAGGUAGCCUCCGCGUGGCGAUGGUUGUCCACGUUUAAGCAUGUAGGGCGAGCUGUAGGCAAAUCCGCAGUUCUUUCUUUGAUGAUGAGCCUGAGAUGUGAUGAUGACCGCAUUGGCGGGAAGUGGGUGAUCCUAUGCUGUCGAGAAAAAAGCAUCUAGCGAGGUUCGAGCCGCCCGUACCCUAAACCGACUCAGGUGGUCAGGUAGAGAAUACUAAGGCGAUCGAGUGAAUCGUGGUUAAGGAACUCGGCAAAAAAAUGCCCCCGUAACUUCGGGAGAAGGGGGGCCUGAGGCGUGACCUGGACUUGCUCCGGUGAGCGUUUGAGGGCCGCAGAGACCAGGGAGAAGCGACUGUUUACUAAAAAAAACACAGGUCCGUGCGAAGUCGCAAGACGAUGUAUACGGACUGACGCCUGCCCGGUGCUGGAACGUUAAGGGGACCGGUUAGCUCGUAAGGGCGAAGCUGAGAACUUAAGCGCCAGUAAACGGCGGUGGUAACUAUAACCAUCCUAAGGUAGCGAAAUUCCUUGUCGGGUAAGUUCCGACCUGCACGAAUGGCGUAACGACUUCUCCGCUGUCUCAACCGCGAACUCGGCGAAAUUGCACUACGAGUAAAGAUGCUCGUUACGCGCAGCAGGACGGAAAGACCCCGGGACCUUUACUAUAGCUUGGUAUUGGUGUUCGGUACGGCUUGUGUAGGAUAGGUGGGAGACUGUGAAGCCGGCACGCUAGUGUUGGUGGAGUCGACGUUGAAAUACCACUCUGGUCGUUCUGGAUGUCUAACUUUGGUCCGUGAUCCGGAUCAGGGACAGUGCCUGGUGGGUAGUUUAACUGGGGCGGUUGCCUCCUAAAGAGUAACGGAGGCGCCCAAAGGUUCCCUCAGCCUGGUUGGCAAUCAGGUGUCGAGUGUAAGUGCACAAGGGAGCUUGACUGUGAGACCGACAGGUCGAGCAGGGACGAAAGUCGGGACUAGUGAUCCGGCAGUGGCUUGUGGAAGCGCUGUCGCUCAACGGAUAAAAAAGGUACCCCGGGGAUAACAGGCUGAUCUUGCCCAAGAGUCCAUAUCGACGGCAUGGUUUGGCACCUCGAUGUCGGCUCGUCGCAUCCUGGGGCUGGAGUAGGUCCCAAGGGUUGGGCUGUUCGCCCAUUAAAGCGGUACGCGAGCUGGGUUUAGAACGUCGUGAGACAGUUCGGUCCCUAUCCGCUGCGCGCGUUGGAAACUUGAGAAGGGCUGUCCCUAGUACGAGAGGACCGGGACGGACGAACCUCUGGUGUGCCAGUUGUCCUGCCAAGGGCACCGCUGGUUAGCUACGUUCGGAAGGGAUAACCGCUGAAGGCAUCUAAGCGGGAAGCUCGCUUCAAGAUGAGGUUUCCAUGCACCCUCGAGGUGUGAGAGGCUCCCAGCUAGACUACUGUUGAUAGGCCGGAUGUGGAAGCAAGGACUGAAGACUUGUGAAGCUGACCGGUACUAAUAUGCCGAUGACUUACUCAC